UUGAAAGGGAAACGAUUGAAGUCAGUCGUACCAGCGGGAAAUCAACCUUUCGAGUGGGGGUUUUGGAGUUUUGAAGAGUGUCAAAACCUUUGAGAUUUCAAAAUAUUCGCUCUUUUGGUGUACUUUCUCGUGGGUAGGUUAACAUCGAUUUUGAUCAUCAUAAAAAGAUUGGAGGAAUGUAGCUUCGAUCUUGUAUUGAAGUGUUAUAGCCUUUGGUAAAUGUGAUGAUUAGGAUCGAGGAUUGCAACGAAUACCCUUUUGGGCUAUCCGCCUGAUCUCUGAUACGUGGCCUUGGUAUCGAAAGCUUGCUUAUGGUAUCAAGGUAUUACGGUCAAAAGGUUAGAACGGAUUACAUUCGUUAAGGAUGUUGACGAU
RNAcentral lists this ribosomal RNA (375 nucleotides) under uncultured Glomeromycotina. RNAcentral describes it as "LSU rRNA". Lineage: Eukaryota; Fungi; Glomeromycota. The record is from RNAcentral.